RNAcentral lists this ribosomal RNA (291 nucleotides) under uncultured eukaryote. RNAcentral describes it as "partial 18S rRNA". It matches the Rfam family "Eukaryotic small subunit ribosomal RNA", at positions 111 to 414 of the family's 1831-position model. The record is from RNAcentral.
AAUAGUUUCUUUGGUGGUGACCUACUACAUGGAUAACCGUAGUAAUUCUAGAGCUAAUACAUGCGUAAAUCUCGACUCACGAAGAGACGUAUUUAUUAGAUAAAGACCGACCUCGUUCUGCGGUGAAUCAUAAUAACUUCACGGACCGCAUGGCUUUAUGCCGGCGGUGUUCCAUUCAAAUUUCUGCCCUAUCAGCUUUCGACGGUAGGAUAGAGGCCUACCGUGGUGUUCACGGGUGACGGAGAAUUAGGGUUCGAUUCCGGAGAGGGAGCCUGAGGAACGGCUACCACA